GUAAAGUUUACUAUGAAUGAAACACUGCAGUGAGUUUUCAUCGAGCUUCUGUAUAGCAGCCCUUUUCUCUCUCCUACUCUAACAAGUGUAAUCCUGCAACACAAAAUUGUGCAAUUCAUGAGUAAUUCAUUGCUCAGUUUCUUAUUCAUCUACGUUUUGCGUAAGGGUCUCGUGGAAAUUAGCCAUCUUCUGAGUCCUUUCACAGCAGAGAGAAAGCGAGUGAGUCACACCCUGGAACGUAAGGGUUCUUACACUGUAAGAUGAUGUGCUAAGAACUGAAGACCGCACAAUUUGGGGGGAUGAAGGCAGAGAUGUGAUUGAAAAAGCAUACUAAUAUAAUGUACAUGUGUGAGAAAGAGCUAAUACUGAAGUGAACAAGUGCAACAGAACUAAGGUUUAUAUUGAAAAGAUAUGGAUUUGAAGAGUGGUUUCAGUGGAUGAGGAAUUGGUUGGAUUAUUUCAGAGGAUUAUGGUCAAAGGCGGAGGCUGGUGGUGAGUGGUGGCCCCAGGGAGUCCACCUUGGGAUGUAUUCAUCAACAUCUUUAUAAAUGACCUAAAUAGUGGGAUCGAGUGCACCUUCAACAAGUUUGCUGAUCACAUUAAGCUGAGUGGUGGAGUUGAUAUAACAGAAGGAAGGAAUGCCGUGCAAAGAGACAGACUCGAUAAGUGGGCCCACAGAACCUAGUGAGGUUCAACAAGGCCAAGUGGUGUAUUUGAGUUGGAGCAAUCCCAGACGUCCACAAACUAGAAGAAGAAUUCAUUGGGAGCAGCCCUGCAGAGAAGGACUUGGGGUUUCUGAUGGAUAAAGAGCUUGAUGCAAGCCAACAGUACGUGCUUGCAGUGCAGAAGGCCAACUGUCUCCUGAGCUGCAUAAUAAAGGUGUUGCCAGCAGGGUGAGGGAAGUGUCUGCCCUCUGCUCUGCCCGUGUGGCUCCACCUGGAGUACUGUGCUCAGGUCUGGGGCCCUCAGCAUAAAGAAAGACUUAAAGCUGUUGGUGCAGAUGGAGGAAGGCCACAGAGAUGAUCAUCUCUCUUAUGUGGAAAAGUUGAGGGAUCUGGGCAGGUUCUGUUUGGAGAAUAGAAGUCUCUGGUGAGACUCCAGUGAAUGGAGUUUACAAAUAUGAGGGAGAUUACAUGAUUUGAUAAUGAUGGGACAAGGAAGAAUGGUUUUAAACUAAAAGAGGGGAGGCUUAGGUUAGAUAUUAUGCAGAAUUUUUUUUAUAUAGGACAGUGGUAAGGCACUUGAACAGGUUACCCCAUCCCUGGAGGCAUUCAAGGUGAUGUUGGAUCGGGCCCUGGGCAGCCUGACCUAGUGGUUGGCAAUCCUGCCCAUGGCAAGAUUGAUUAGAACAUGGCAAGAUGGGUUAGAACUGGAUGGUAUUAAAGGUCCCUUCCAACUCAAGCCAUUCUAUGAUUUCAUCUAUAAAAAAUGUGUUUUAUGGAACAAAAUUAGCACCCCACUUGUACUACUUCAAAAGAACAGUAAAUUCUCUUCUGAAACCAAAAGCAAAUUUUAAAUUAAGAUUUCUUUCUUAUUUUUGCAGGAAAUACAUUUCAAAAAGUUCUGACUUUUUAGUAAAAUUUAUCAAGGAAACCAACCAGCAAAGUCAGGUGCUGAAGGAUUUGGGGAGAAAUAGGAGUGCUGUGCUUUGCCAGAAAGGUCGCAUGCGAUCAGCCUCAGCAUACACUAGAGAGAAGCUCCCCAUGAAGAUCUGCAGAACUUGAAGAGUGAGAACAGGACCCUGCAGUUAUAGAGAGAAGGGCCUCACAGCAAGAAAAGGGAAAGUAGCUUCACAAAGUAGAAAUAAGGGGCAAAUAGAGAUAGUUUAGGUAGAGAGUGUUAGAAAACAAGGGAUUCCAAGCACUUUCACAGACACUAGGUCUGGAAUAACAAGAAGGAUGAAGGCCAUAAAGAUAAGUACUGGAGAGCAGCUCAAAAACAUUUGGCAGGGAGGUGAUUAGAUGUCUACAGGGCAAGCUGAAACCAGUUUGGGGGAUGCCCCCCCCUUCAGGGUCAGAAGUUUGCAGUGAGGAAGACUAUGAGCCUUCGCGAGGAAGACUAUGAGCCUUCAUCAUCACGACCUACUACACAUGCGCAAGGGGGGGAGGGACUGCAUGCUACUGGGCUCUCAGGAAUGUAAUGAACAUGUAUCCAAAUUCCUGUCAACUAUUGAUUAUGUAUUAGUUCGACCUAUAUCUAUAGCACGAUUUCUCCUGACGGUGUGCAAGUUAGGUGGAACGAUCCCCUUUGCACCAGGGUGUACACGCGUCACCAAUAAACACAUACCUGCUCUAUAUCCUCACUGGCUAUAGGGUCUGAUUUCUGCACAUCAAACUACCUCUUUCUUUUUCCACACACAAACCUGCGAAACUUACCUCUGAAGUGCCAAAACUUGUUUCCACUUCCAAACAGACCUCCCUCUGACAUGGGCAGACUGAUACCACCUCUUUUCAUUUUGUCCCUGCAUAUAUCCCUACCCAUUUCAUGUCUCUCUUUACUACUCUGUGCACCAGUGGUGUGAGACAGAGAUUUUUUUGUUCUGUAACUAUAUACUUUGCAGCAUCAAGGAAUCUCGGUCUUGAGUAUGCCUCCAAAGUGUUGCUGUGGUAGAAAUAAUUAUGCAGUGGAAAAAUAGAACUGGAUGAUCUUAUAGCUUUUUCUUUGCCUCAGGCCACGAAGACAAACUGGAAAGAACUAUUCAUUAUUUCUGCUGAGUUAUAUAAUUGCCAAGUCCUUUGCAGAAGGUUGAUAAUCAUGAUAAUUCUCAUUUUAUAUUGGGCAUAGACCAGAAUGUUGUGCUGUGGUUUGGCUGGUUUUGUUCCUUCUAUAUUAAUAAUAAACUAUGUGUGACGAAAACAAAACACCUUCUACUGCACUUUUGAAGAUAGCAAUCUAGUCAUUUCAUUGCUACCUUAAGUUUUACUCUUGACAUACAGAAAAUAUAUCAGUAACCAAAUUUCAUUAGUAGUUUCCCGAAUUCUGAGGAAAGUGCUUUGAAAAGCUUUCCCUGUGAGACUUUAUUGCUAGCAAAAUUAAAAGAUUUUCUUGGUAAAUAUGAAGAAGAUGACUUUCAAAAUUCGGAGUAAAUCCUUCAAGUUUUAAAAAAACAUUACUUUUAUUUUAAAAUACUUUAGAGAUGAAUCUAUAGAAAUAUCUUUGAAACCACAUUAAUUCCAGUAUAAAUUUCAUGUAGCAGUAAUACAGAGCAGACACACCACUCAUUACUUUAAAUCAUUUGCAUUCUGUACAUGCAAAAGCAAAUAAUCCACUUUAUAAUAUGUGACAAAAUCUCAGUUGAUAAGCAAAUGAAAAUGGAAAAUUAUUGAAGUCAAAGGGAAAAAAGAAAAUCCUGAAUUGAACUAACAAAACAAAACAAACAAGAACAACAACAAAACAAAACAAAACAACCACACCUACAGUUUUCCAGGACAAGCAAGAUUUACCAGCUGCCAAACUGUAACACUGGGCAAAAUCCAUGGAUGAGGUUUGCUUUCCUUCCUUCCCCGUAUUUUUUUUUUUUUAACAUCUUUUUUUCAGUAAGAAACAUAAAUCACAGAAUCAAAGAACGGCCCAAGCUGGAAAGUCCACCCAUUGGCUCCACACAGGACCACCCAAAAAUCAGACCAUAUGUCUGAGAGCAUUGUCCAAAUGCUCCUUAACUCUAGCAGUUUGGUACCAUGACCACAGCCCUGGGAAGUAUGUUCCAGUGCCUGACCACCC
Molecule: long non-coding RNA, 3720 nt
Organism: Gallus gallus (chicken)
Lineage: Eukaryota; Metazoa; Chordata; Aves; Galliformes; Phasianidae
Source: Ensembl